This 72-nucleotide transfer RNA is filed under the name Candidatus Woesearchaeota archaeon. Its description in RNAcentral is "tRNA-Asn". It matches the Rfam family "tRNA". Rfam says of the family: Transfer RNA (tRNA) molecules are approximately 80 nucleotides in length. Their secondary structure includes four short double-helical elements and three loops (D, anti-codon, and T loops). Lineage: Archaea; Nanobdellati; Candidatus Woesearchaeota. The record is from RNAcentral.
GCCCCGGUAGCUUAGCGGUGGAGCGGAUGGCUGUUAACCAUCAGGUCACCAGUUCGAGUCUGGUCCGGGGCG